CUCCCAUGUACUCACAAGCACAGUGUGAAUCAAGAAGCAGCACGUAUAAAAAGACCUCACUGAAGACUGAAAGGGAUUGUUCCUGACAAGCCUGCAGAACAGCAGACGGCUUAUAGGGGGGCUGAGCUCUACAUGGGGAAUCUGUCAAGCUAACAAAGGGCCAGUUCUCCCAGGGACAGGAAGUUUGGAAGGUGAACUGCAGGGAAACUCAUUCAGUGAGGACAGAGGAACCACCCUCUUCCCAUUUCCCUUUGACUGUGCCUCCACAGAAGAGCCAGGCAGCUGCCUCAUCCCCAUCUACCCAGGCCUGCAAGCAGGCUCUGCUUCCACCCAUGAAAAGCGGGACUUACUCUCUCACCAUAAACAUCUGAAAAACUGGAUCAAAGAUAUGAAACAACUACUUCCAGACACUGGACAAGAAGCAGUAAUCUUAUAAGCAGCAUACAUUGGUCCGGGAACCAAGAAGUGGACUCACUCACCAUCACUCCAGUGACCUUGUCCUUCCAGUCCCUGCAGCUUUGGGCUUUGUGGAUCUAGAGGCCCUGGUUCCCAAAGGGAGAAUACUUCUACCAGGAGGAAGUAUUGUAGGAGUUCCAGUAAGUUUUAAGCCAUGGCUUCCGACUAGUCACUUCAGGCUCCUCAUGCCAAGAGAUCAGCAGACAAAGAAGGAUUCACCACACUGGCUCAGGUGAUUGACCCUGGUCAUCAGGAUGUGGUAGGCUGUGUUACAUGGGGAGGUGCAAGGAAGAAUAUAUUUGGCACUCAUGUAAUCCACUAGGAUGUCUCCUGAUUCUCCCCUUCUUGAUUGUAAAGGUAAAUGGAAAGUGCAGCAGCCUUGAUCUGAGAAGGGCAUGGUGACCCACAGCUCAGAUCCCUUGGGGAUGAGGGUCUGGGUCACACCACCAAGUAAGCCACUUGGAACAGUGGAGGUGUCUACCAAGGAUGAGAGGACUGUAGAAUAGGUUGUACGAGAGGAAGAUGUUGAGUAUUGGCUGUGGCCUCAAGACUAGUUGCAGUAGUGGGACAGUGGGAGGGAUGGCUAUUUCAUCUCACUAACCUGCCAUAAGUUUCCCAAGGAAACAGACCGACCAGAAUCCUAGAGAAGCUGUUCCCAGAUGGAGUGGAUUUGAACAGCGCAAGAGGUCGUUUGCAGUGGAUACUAUGAUGUGCCAUCCAGGUCUGCCCUUCAGGACUAAGAUGCAUAUUCCCUCAGCAGCCAGCAGUAUUGCCUGUUGAUGGCUCACAGCUGUGUGCCUCUCUGGGCAAUGCUGUCAGCUGAAAGGUGCUUUCUUGGCUCAUUUCUGCACUCUUUCACUGGGGGCAGCCCACAUCCAAAGACUAGUCAAUGUGGAGCUACAGAGCCCUAGUCAGUGCUUCAGCUUGAGACUUCUCUGUCUAAGAAGUGUCUCAAAAUUAACUCAUUCAAAACCAUACUCAGAGUCCUCCCUACACCUUUCCCUUUUCCCCAUUUCAGUAAAUGUCAAUUCCAUGCCUCCAGUUGUCCAGUCCAAAAUCUUGGAAUUUUCCUUGACUCCUCUCUUUAUCUAGUUCCCCAGACAUAUAAUAUACUAGCAAAUCUUGUGGACUCUACCUUCAUAUCCACAAUUUGACCACUUCUCAGCCCUACCACUGCUGACCCUCUGCAACUCACUAUAAACUCACCUGGAGCACACUAUUGCCUCCCAGCUGACUUCCCUGCUUCUGCGCUUGCUCCCUCCUGUCUAUUCCAUGCAAGCAGCCAAAGUGACCCUGUUGAGAGCUAAGUUAGAUCCUCUAACAAAUUCUUCUAGUGCCUUCUCCUCACACAGACUACAAGCUAAA
Molecule: long non-coding RNA, 1821 nt
Filed under: Equus asinus (donkey)
Lineage: Eukaryota; Metazoa; Chordata; Mammalia; Perissodactyla; Equidae
Description: lncRNA (ENSEASG00005034130.1)
Source: RNAcentral